UACGUAGGGGGCUAGCGUUGUCCGGAAUCAUUGGGCGUAAAGAGCGUGUAGGCGGCCCGGUAAGUCCGCUGUAAAAGUCAAAGGCUCAACCUUUGAAUGUCAGUGGAUACUGCCGGGCUAGAGUCCGGAAGAGGCGAGUGGAACUCCUGGUGUGGCGGUGGAAUGCGCAGAUUUCAGGAAGAACACCAACGGCGAAGGCAGCUCGCUGGGACGGUACUGACGCUGAGACGCGAAAGCGUGGGGAGCGAACAGG
RNAcentral lists this ribosomal RNA (253 nucleotides) under uncultured bacterium. Its description in RNAcentral is "partial 16S ribosomal RNA". It matches the Rfam family "Bacterial small subunit ribosomal RNA", at positions 524 to 776 of the family's 1533-position model. The record is from RNAcentral.